GGCGCGGACAGAUAAUGCUGCGCUCUAUGUGCAACGGUGGGACCUGUGGGCAGCCAUGCUCACGCCCUCCUAUCUUUGAGGUUAAAAUUUUUUGUUCUGUUGUUAUAGUGGUUGAUAAAAAUUAAAAAAUUAAUGUAUUCACUCUGCCUUUUUCAAUUUCUCUUGAUUCUAUUCAAUUAUUUUUUUUUGUGUUAGUUUAUAAUUUGUUCAAGCCGUCUAGGCAAAUUGUGUAAAUUUUUAUAAGCCGUCCAGGCUAAUUGUUUAUAAUUGUGUUUAAGCCGCCUAGGCAACUUUUGUAUAACCUUUUACAAGCCGUCAAGGCAAUUUUUGUAUAAUCUUUUACAAGCCGUCAAGGCAAUUUUUGCAUAAUUUUUUGCAAGCCAUCAAGAUCAAUAAUUGUUACUGUACAAUCAAAUAGUUAAGCAUAGAAUAAAAAAUAUAAUUAGCGACUAAUGGCGGUUACAAGAAAAUAUUUAGAACGAUAAAUUCAUUGAUCAGCUGUCAAUUAAAAGAGCGAGAAGUGUGAGAAUAUAGUAAUUAAGAUGAGACGGAUAUCCGUCGUGAAAGAGACGAUGUGUGCACUUAAUCAAACCGGUCACAUACAAGUGCCUUUGGUCGAAUUUUGCACAAAUCCCUUCUAUAAAUCAUAAAAUUAUUAUUGAUUAUAGACACUCGUUAUUGGAAUACUAACUAGUUUUUGAUGCAUCAUAAAUAAUGGCAAAACGUAAAAUAUAACAAAUAAUGGAGAACUGUUAAAGACUGAGCUUUAUUCUAAAUCUGUUUUUAUCCUCUGUAAAUUUUUUUAUUAUUAAUUUUAAUUUCAAGUUAUAUUCUUAAAUUUAUUUCUUACCAAUUCUAAAAUACCACAUUUUACAGAAAUCUGUAAUGAAAAUUAUACGUUAUAAUAAAAAUAUUAUACUAUUUGUACUAAAAUAGUUAUAGAAUCAUUAAUCAAUAUGAG
Molecule: long non-coding RNA, 961 nt
Organism: Daktulosphaira vitifoliae (grape phylloxera)
Lineage: Eukaryota; Metazoa; Arthropoda; Insecta; Hemiptera; Phylloxeridae
Exons: 3
Source: RefSeq, a predicted model, not a curated record